RNAcentral lists this ribosomal RNA (467 nucleotides) under uncultured bacterium. RNAcentral describes it as "partial 16S ribosomal RNA". It matches the Rfam family "Bacterial small subunit ribosomal RNA", at positions 28 to 507 of the family's 1533-position model. The record is from RNAcentral.
GACGAACGCUGGCGGCGUGCUUAACACAUGCAAGUCGAACGGAAAGGCCUCUUUCGGGGGGUACUCGAGUGGCGAACGGGUGAGUAACACGUGAGUAACCUGCCCUUGACUUUGGGAUAACUUCAGGAAACUGGGGCUAAUACCGGAUAGGAGCUCCUGCUGCAUGGUGGGGGUUGGAAAGUUUCGGCGGUUGGGGAUGGACUCGCGGCUUAUCAGCUUGUUGGUGGGGUAGUGGCUUACCAAGGCUUUGACGGGUAGCCGGCCUGAGAGGGUGACCGGCCACAUUGGGACUGAGAUACGGCCCAGACUCCUACGGGAGGCAGCAGUGGGGAAUAUUGCACAAUGGGUGGAAGCCUGAUGCAGCAACGCCGUGUGCGGGAUGACGGCCUUCGGGUUGUAAACCGCUUUCGCUCAUGACGAAGCUUUGUGUGACGGUAGUGGGUAAAGAAGCACCGGCUAACUACGUU